UACAGAGGUCUCGAGCGUUAGUCGGAAUCACUGGGCUUAAAGCGUACGUAGGCGGAUCUGUAGGCGUCGUGUGAAAUACCUCGGCUCAACCGAGGAACUGCACGGCGAACCACAGUUCUUGAGACAAGUAGGGGCGGUCGGAACGAUAGGUGGAGUGGUGAAAUGCGUUGAUAUCUGGAGGAACACCAGUGGCGAAGGCGGCUAUCUGGGCCACGACUGACGCUGAGGCGCGAAAGCUAGGGGAGCGAACAGG
Molecule: ribosomal RNA, 253 nt
Filed under: uncultured bacterium
Lineage: Bacteria
Description: partial 16S ribosomal RNA
Rfam family: Bacterial small subunit ribosomal RNA
Source: RNAcentral